RNAcentral lists this ribosomal RNA (435 nucleotides) under uncultured Lachnospiraceae bacterium. RNAcentral describes it as "bacterial SSU rRNA". It matches the Rfam family "Bacterial small subunit ribosomal RNA", at positions 341 to 792 of the family's 1533-position model. The record is from RNAcentral. Lineage: Bacteria; Bacillati; Bacillota; Clostridia; Lachnospirales; Lachnospiraceae.
ACGGGAGGCAGCAGUGGGGAAUAUUGCACAAUGGGGGGAACCCUGAUGCAGCGACGCCGCGUGAGCGAAGAAGUAUUUCGGUAUGUAAAGCUCUAUCAGCAGGGAAGAAACAGGACGGUACCUGCACAAGAAGCCCCGGCUAACUACGUGCCAGCAGCCGCGGUAAUACGUAGGGGGCGAGCGUUAUCCGGAUUUACUGGGUGUAAAGGGAGCGUAGACGGCUGUGCAAGUCUGGAGUGAAACUCCGGGGCCCAACCCCGGAACUGCUCUGGAAACUGUGUGGCUCGAGUACCGGAGGGGUAGGCGGAACUCCUAGUGUAGCGGUGAAAUGCGUAGAUAUUAGGAAGAACACCGGCGGCGAAGGCGGCCUACUGGACGGUAACUGACGUUGAGGCUCGAAAGCGUGGGGAGCAAACAGGAUUAGAUACCCUGGUA